CGAUGGAGGCUGCGCGCACGAGGCUGGCCGUGCAGAUCAGUCCUGCCCCUAGGCAAAGGGGAGAGCUGCUUUUCCCCAGCCAAUGCUUAAUUUGAAAGGAAAAAAGGGUUGUGAAACUUUCAACCUGCAAUGAAGGAGAGAAAAAACUUAGCCAAGAUGAGGAGAAGCCCAUCUACUACGGUGAUAAAGUCCUGUGGGAACCCUGAGAACCAUCAUUUACACAAAGAAGCAGCUAUACAAUCUCCCCACCCCAGUAAAUACUGUUUCUCAGUUCCUUGCUGAUGACCCUGAUUUAGCCUGUAUUAGAUACAGUUACUAACACCAAUCCAAAUGUUUACUGAUGAAGGAAGGGAGGAAAAACCCAAGAGACAAGUGAACGGUUCUAACAUAAAGUAAA
Molecule: long non-coding RNA, 397 nt
Organism: Mauremys reevesii (Reeves's turtle)
Lineage: Eukaryota; Metazoa; Chordata; Testudines; Geoemydidae
Exons: 3
Source: RefSeq, a predicted model, not a curated record